Non-coding RNA from Paramuricea clavata, 144 nucleotides. Lineage: Eukaryota; Metazoa; Cnidaria; Anthozoa; Malacalcyonacea; Plexauridae. The record is from the annotation of a GenBank genome assembly.
UUGCCACCAAUGUCUAUUAUACAAGCUUAAUUCAUGCACUAACCGUGCAUAUUAUUUUUUUAUUUUUUUUAGAAUAACAAUAUGCAAAUUAGGUAAAUGCAUGAAUUAAGCAUGCGUAAUAGGCAUUGGUGCCAAAAAAUGAAA